This 486-nucleotide ribosomal RNA is filed under the name uncultured bacterium. RNAcentral describes it as "partial 16S ribosomal RNA". It matches the Rfam family "Bacterial small subunit ribosomal RNA", at positions 30 to 507 of the family's 1533-position model. The record is from RNAcentral.
AUUGAACGCUGGCGGCAUGCCUUACACAUGCAAGUCGAACGGCAGCACGGGUGCUUGCACCUGGUGGCGAGUGGCGAACGGGUGAGUAAUACAUCGGAACAUGUCCUGUAGUGGGGGAUAGCCCGGCGAAAGCCGGAUUAAUACCGCAUACGAUCUACGGAUGAAAGCGGGGGACCUUCGGGCCUCGCGCUAUAGGGUUGGCCGAUGGCUGAUUAGCUAGUUGGUGGGGUAAAGGCCUACCAAGGCGACGAUCAGUAGCUGGUCUGAGAGGACGACCAGCCACACUGGGACUGAGACACGGCCCAGACUCCUACGGGAGGCAGCAGUGGGGAAUUUUGGACAAUGGGCGAAAGCCUGAUCCAGCAAUGCCGCGUGUGUGAAGAAGGCCUCCGGGUUGUAAAGCACUUUUGUCCGGAAAGAAAUCCUUGGCCCUAAUACGGUCGGGGGAUGACGGUACCGGAAGAAUAAGCACCGGCUAACUACGUG